This 522-nucleotide ribosomal RNA is filed under the name uncultured bacterium. Its description in RNAcentral is "bacterial SSU rRNA". It matches the Rfam family "Bacterial small subunit ribosomal RNA", at positions 356 to 896 of the family's 1533-position model. The record is from RNAcentral.
GGGGAAUCUUGCGCAAUGGGCGAAAGCCUGACGCAGCCAUGCCGCGUGAAUGAUGAAGGUCUUAGGAUUGUAAAAUUCUUUCACCGGGGACGAUAAUGACGGUACCCGGAGAAGAAGCCCCGGCUAACUUCGUGCCAGCAGCCGCGGUAAUACGAAGGGGGCUAGCGUUGCUCGGAAUUACUGGGCGUAAAGGGCGCGUAGGCGGAUCGUUAAGUCAGGGGUGAAAUCCCAGAGCUCAACUCUGGAACUGCCUUUGAUACUGGCGAUCUUGAGUAUGAGAGAGGUAUGUGGAACUCCGAGUGUAGAGGUGAAAUUCGUAGAUAUUCGGAAGAACACCAGUGGCGAAGGCGACAUACUGGCUCAUUACUGACGCUGAGGCGCGAAAGCGUGGGGAGCAAACAGGAUUAGAUACCCUGGUAGUCCACGCCGUAAACGAUGAUUGCUAGUUGUCGGGCUGCAUGCAGUUCGGUGACGCAGCUAACGCAUUAAGCAAUCCGCCUGGGGAGUACGGUCGCAAGAUUA